AGCGAACGCUGGCGGCAUGCUUAACACAUGCAAGUCGCGCGGGUGGUUUCGGCCAUCAGCGGCGGACGGGUGAGUAUCGCGUAGGAAUGUAUCCCGAGGUGGGGGACAACCCUGGGAAACUGGGGCUAAUACCGCAUGGGGCCUGUGGGUCAAAGCCUUAGGGCGCCUUGGGAGCAGCCUGCGUCCGAUUAGGUAGUUGGUGGGGUAAAGGCCUACCAAGCCUGCGAUCGGUAGCUGGUCUGAGAGGACGAUCAGCCACACUGGGACUGAGACACGGCCCAGACUCCUGCGGGAGGCAGCAGUGGGGAAUAUUGGACAAUGGGCGCAAGCCUGAUCCAGCAAUGCCGCGUGGGUGAAGAAGGUCUUCGGAUUGUAAAGCCCUUUCGGCGGGGACGAUGAUGACGGUACCCGCAGAAGAAGCCCCGGCUAACUUCGUG
RNAcentral lists this ribosomal RNA (437 nucleotides) under uncultured bacterium. RNAcentral's name for it is "partial 16S ribosomal RNA". It matches the Rfam family "Bacterial small subunit ribosomal RNA", at positions 28 to 507 of the family's 1533-position model. The record is from RNAcentral.